UUUCACACCUGGAUGUGCUCACUCAACCAAGAAUAUAGAGAAAGAGCUUCUGCCCUGAGACUCAGAAAAAUAUUCUCCUGUGCUUCGGUUCAGUAUAGAUUUCUAAACCCUGAUCAUUGCUUAAGAGAUAUUCACUGAGGUUGCUGAGACAAAGGAAAACCCACUCCCUUGGAGGAGCAUGACCUUUUCCUGUAAUUCUUCCCACUGCUGUUGUUGAGCUCCUUGGACCAUGGCUCCUGGACACCAUCAUCAAGAAGACUUUAUGGAUGGGCUGUCCACCCACUGAGAGAAGAGGAGCAUCAGCUACAGUUUCUCUCUAGAUUGCCUUCUUCAUUUUGAGUAAUGACUGUCAGCAGGGUCAGAUUAAAGACAAAACAACUGGACAAUUGCUUGGAGGACUAAACUAUAAGGGCACUAACAUAUCAAUAGUAUGCUAACACAUCCAUGGAAAAUAUAUUUACCAGCUCUUCUCUCAGGGAGGAUUCUGUGUGGGGUUGGAAGUAAUGAUUUGUUAAAUUCCUUAGGGGUAGAAAGUAGGGCAUAAUCAGAAUAUAGAGGAAUAGGCUGUUUGACUUCAGGGUUUCUGUUUUUCUUACUAGGAUAUAUAAAACAGGGACUCUAGCUAGAUUGUUUAUGACCACAGAGGGUAGGCUGAGCGCUCUCAUGAUCUUCCUGCUUGGUUCUUGCCCAUACAGAGGUCAGCCUUUCCUCUAAUAAAGAUUGAACAAGUAGUGGUCUGAGGGAGACACCAACUCAUUACCCUACAUGUCUCUUCUCUGCACUCCAGGGCUUUGAUAAUAAAGACACUGGCAGACUAUCUAUCUUCCAUUUCUAUAAUGUGAGCCCUUAGGGAGUCUUCGUUCACUUGGGGGUGAGGGUCAUUGCUCACAGAGUAGUUCAAGUCAAAUGGAACUUGAACUCUUUGCCUAUGGGCCUGGUGGUCAGACUCUGUGUUGAGUUCAUUAGAUUAUUGGAGACACAAGGUAGAGCUGGAUGCUUCAAAAAUAUUUGGCUAAAGGAUGACAUUGCUGGUUAUUUGUAGAUAAAGCCAUGAUGGAACCUGCUUGGAAUCAUGAAAUAUGGAACUGGUGGUCAUGUUUAAAAAUACAACUAAUAGUUAAGUACCUACUGGACACUGUAGAGACUUAGGGGCUAGACAGACAUGGUUCCUGCCCCCAUGGAGCUUACACUGUAGCUUCCCCUUAGGUAUGAAGAACAGUGGCUACAACUAACAAAUGGCCACAAAGAUAUAAUUGAGCCAGUGUUCCAAUUAUUAGGGUAAUUCCUAUUUCCUUAAUCAUGCCUAUUGACCAUGUUCUAUAAGCCUGCAUUCUAUAAAUGGCCUAUGACCAUGGGCUGUUUCCCCCCAGCAAGUUGUACAAAGUUCUGUGGUACCAGGGAAAGGGCUUAAGGUUAGCAGGGCCUCUGGGGAAGGACAUAUGAAGUGACUUGGGUUAGGAAACAGGAAGGGAUAGGAUUCAAGAACAGCUAUUGCUUCUGUUCUAUAUAGGAAACUGCAGCGUGAAAAAUGCUGGGCUGGGAAUUUUGAGACCUGGGUUUUAGUUUGUGUUCUAAUACUAACAAGCUAUGUGACUGUGGUUAAGUCAUUUCACAUUCCAUUUGGAUGCCUCUUGAGUGACUCCAGGCCUCUCCAGCUCUAAAACAUUGAGAUCAGGCCCUACGCUACAGCUGGCCAGUGUGUAGUUCUUCUGUUUCUAUGCUGUUAGGUCAAAUAGAUCUUCAAUAGUUACUUGAUUGUUAUUACUUUUUUCUGAAGUGGGUGUUUUAUCAGUGUUUUAGGAUACAGUGAGUCUGCUUCUCCCCUUUGGAGUUAGGAAGGUUGUAGGAAUAUACACUGUAGAGCAUAUGGGAGCUUUAUCUCCUCCUUUUUCCCCCCCUACCUUUCUCCCUCUCCUUCCCUUCGUCACAUUUCUAUUGAGCAUAUGCCAUUGCCGUGUACCAGGUGUGUGCUAGGUUUGGAGAUACAAGGUAAACUUGAGACUUUCCCAGCCUCCAGGAGACAAAACCCUAAUUUCUUUCAUCUGCUGUCUUUCUCUUUGGAAAGAAUCAACGAUAUCCCAGGGGAAUGUGCCCAUGUCCCAGGGUAACCAACUACAGACAGAUGCCCCAUUCUACUCAAGCAACUUUUAGAGUGCCUUGAGAUACACAUCAGAUAAUUAUGCAGGGCCAGGCAUGGUGGUGCACACUUGUAAUCACAGCACUUUGGGAGGCCGAGGCAGCAGAUUGCUUGAGCCCAGGAAUUCAAGUGUAGCCUAGGGAACAUGGCAAAACCCCAGCUCUACAAAAAAAUACACAAAUUAGCUGCGUGUGGUGGCCUAUGACAGGAGGCUGAGAUGGGAGGAUUGCUUGAGCCUGUGAGGUCGAGGCUGCAGUGAGCCGAGAUCAUGCCAUUGCACUCCAGCCUGGGUGACAUAGGGAGACCCUGUCUUGAAAAAAAAAAAAAAAAAAAGAUAAUUAUUCAGCCCUAGAGUCAUUGUGAAAAGAUCUAUCUUCAGAUAUAAGGAAGAAACAAUCUUUUAUUUCUUAGGAUAAAUCUGUAGAAGGACCUCCAGACAGUGAAGGCCACUGACUACUUUACACUCUGUAAGCCAUCCCUCCCUGGUAGGAAGGACUAUUUCCAAUCUUACAGAGUACCUCUCAGCAAAUAGACGUUUUCACAUAUACUGUGAUUCAUACAUCCCUAUGGCUGGUGACCUCUUUAAAAAGGAAAGGAAAAAGCCUAAUCAAACAAAAAGAUUCUUUUUUUUACAAUAUUACAAUUGUAAUUACAAUAGUAAUUCUUACCCUAUUGUGAAUCCUAUAUAAGCAAAUUUGUAUCUUUGUUUUUUCCCACAUUAGCAGAUCUAUUUGAUGUAUAUCUCUGAGUGCAGAAAAUAUUUUAUGGAAAAAUCAAUAUAUGGAAUUUCAAAUUCAGAAUUGCUGAUACACACUAUUUGGUUUCAGAAUUUUAUCCUAGGAAAUAGUAUUAGAGAUUUCAAUUUCUGGCUUAAAUGGUAGAAUUAAUUACUCUUAACUCUUAAUUUUACUUCUGAGUUGAGGUCAAGGAACAGGCAGACACCUCCAGUUAACGUCUAUACCUCUCCAUGGCCAAGAGUUUUAAUUUUCUCGUCUUCAGUUUUGUAGAUGUACAUCAUUACUAAAUGGAUUGAUUAGUAUUUUAUCUCCUCUCCUUGUCCUUACUUUCCCUCUGGUAAAUAUGUUAUAAACAGUGUAAGGCUCCUAAGAUAGAGUAGCUGGUAGGACUUAGAAGAGAAACAAAGGGCACUGAUAACUCACAUAAAUGGAAAAUUGGCUCUGGAAUAACUGACAACAUAUUCAAGUAUUUUAGUGCAGUGUCAUUCUCAUUAAGAAGAAGAGAACCAGUAAAUCUAUGUGACUCUAAACAUUCUAAUGAAAAAAGGAAUAUUCUGCCAAUUAUCUCACAUUUCUAAAUAUCUGGAUAUUGGCCAUCAUAAAGACAAAACAUACAGAUGAUGGACUUGUCUUUCCACCUCUCAUUUGCAUGGUUUGGAGCAUUGUACCUCCAGCCAUUGACUCUAAGGCAAUUUAUAUUUGCUUCCUCUUCCCUCUUGAGAGAAAACGAAAAUCUUAUUUUUCCAAGCAAUUAAAACUCUUCUGCUUCAGCUAGGAUGAAAGAAUUAGGAGUUCUGUCUCUUUGUAUCUAAUUGCAUGUUUCAUCUUUCUUGUUUUAAUGAUUGACAGAAAACUAAUAAACUGAGACAUCUUUGAAUCCAGGUUGAAUGUACUCUCUUGGUGGCCCCAUUGCUAAUUUGUUUGACUAUUUUGCAGGAUUUCUUACUCUGUAAUGGAAAGGUUUAUUAAAUAUGAGGGGUGCAAA
This 3859-nucleotide antisense RNA is filed under the name Pan troglodytes (chimpanzee). The stretch from base 1 to 140 matches the Rfam family "Embryonic ventral forebrain-2 long ncRNA". The record is from RNAcentral. Lineage: Eukaryota; Metazoa; Chordata; Mammalia; Primates; Hominidae.